GUGGGGAAUAUUGGACAAUGGGCGAAAGCCUGAUCCAGCCAUGCCGCGUGUGUGAAGAAGGUCUUCGGAUUGUAAAGCACUUUAAGUUGGGAGGAAGGGCAGUAAGUUAAUACCUUGCUGUUUUGACGUUACCGACAGAAUAAGCACCUGCUAACUUCGUGCCAGCAGCCGCGGUAAUACGAAGGGUGCAAGCGUUAAUCGGAAUUACUGGGCGUAAAGCGCGCGUAGGUGGUUUUGUAAGUUGGAGGUGAAAUCCCCGGGCUCAACCUGGGAACUGCCUCCAAAACUGCAUGACUAGAGUACGGUAGAGUGUAGUGGAAUUUCCUGUGUAGCGGUGAAAUGCGUAGAUAUAGGAAGGAACACCAGUGGCGAAGGCGACUACCUGGACUGAUACUGACACUGAGGUGCGAAAGCGUGGGGAGCAAACAGGAUUAGAAACCCUUGUAGUCC
This 450-nucleotide ribosomal RNA is filed under the name uncultured bacterium. Its description in RNAcentral is "partial 16S ribosomal RNA". It matches the Rfam family "Bacterial small subunit ribosomal RNA", at positions 354 to 796 of the family's 1533-position model. The record is from RNAcentral.